UGCGCAGGCGGUUUUGUAAGACAGAGGUGAAAUCCCCGGGCUCAACCUGGGAACUGCCUUUGUGACUGCAAGGCUGGAGUGCGGCAGAGGGGGAUGGAAUUCCGCGUGUAGCAGUGAAAUGCGUAGAUAUGCGGAGGAACACCGAUGGCGAAGGCAAUCCCCUGGGCCUGCACUGACGCUCAUGACGAAAACGUGGGGAGCAAACA
Molecule: ribosomal RNA, 206 nt
Filed under: uncultured bacterium
Lineage: Bacteria
Description: partial 16S ribosomal RNA
Rfam family: Bacterial small subunit ribosomal RNA
Source: RNAcentral